This 664-nucleotide ribosomal RNA is filed under the name uncultured Aeribacillus sp. RNAcentral describes it as "bacterial SSU rRNA". It matches the Rfam family "Bacterial small subunit ribosomal RNA", at positions 28 to 674 of the family's 1533-position model. Lineage: Bacteria; Bacillati; Bacillota; Bacilli; Caryophanales; Bacillaceae. The record is from RNAcentral.
GACGAACGCUGGCGGCGUGCCUAAUACAUGCAAGUCGAGCGGACCGAAGGGAGCUUGCUCCUUUAGGUUAGCGGCGGACGGGUGAGUAACACGUGGGCAACCUGCCCUGCAGACUGGGAUAACUUCGGGAAACCGGAGCUAAUACCGGAUAACACCGAAAACCGCAUGGUUUUCGGUUGAAAGGCGGCAUUAGCUGUCACUGCAGGAUGGGCCCGCGGCGCAUUAGCUAGUUGGUGAGGUAACGGCUCACCAAGGCGACGAUGCGUAGCCGACCUGAGAGGGUGACCGGCCACACUGGGACUGAGACACGGCCCAGACUCCUACGGGAGGCAGCAGUAGGGAAUCUUCCGCAAUGGACGAAAGUCUGACGGAGCAACGCCGCGUGAGCGAAGAAGGUCUUCGGAUCGUAAAGCUCUGUUGCCAGGGAAGAACAAGUACCGUUCGAACAGGGCGGUACCUUGACGGUACCUGACGAGGAAGCCACGGCUAACUACGUGCCAGCAGCCGCGGUAAUACGUAGGUGGCAAGCGUUGUCCGGAAUUAUUGGGCGUAAAGCGCGCGCAGGCGGUUCCUUAAGUCUGAUGUGAAAUCUCGCGGCUCAACCGCGAGCGGCCAUUGGAAACUGGGGAACUUGAGUGCAGGAGAGGGGAGCGGAAUUCCACGU